Non-coding RNA from Nicotiana tabacum (common tobacco), 336 nucleotides. The record is from RefSeq and is a predicted model, not a curated record. NCBI's taxonomy places the organism in Eukaryota, Viridiplantae, Streptophyta, Magnoliopsida, Solanales, Solanaceae.
CCGGAUUGGUUGUUUCUUUUAAUCUAUCCUAUCAGUUAUUGGAGACAACACUUCUGAAGGAUGUGAGCUACUAUAGUGUGGGUGAAUCCUUGGCGUGGUGAUAUACUGAUACCAAAGCUUCUUCAUCAAAGAACACGGACACUAAAGCUUCAAAUUGUAUAGGCUAUUUUGAAGAUGUUAACAAAGAGAAAAGUUACAAUUAUGUAUAUACUGUACUGGACUAUUGUUUUUAAAUUCAUUUAAAUUAUCUGUGGUGUAUGACACUUGAAACUUUUGACAUGAAUGUGAAUGUUUGCGGUAUUGCGAAGAGCAAAUAAAUAUAUUUGUUUUUUUCUU